GGGGGGGGGGGGGGGGGGGGGGGACAGAGGGAAGUCGGGCGGCAGCAGAGGGAGAGCGUGCGCUUGCGGGUGGCGAGUGGCGGGCGGGUGAGGAAUACAUCGGAAUCUACUUUUUCGUGGGGGGUAACGUAGGGAAACUUACGCUAAUACCGCAUACGACCUACGGGUGAAAGCAGGGGAUCUUCGGACCUUGCGCGAUUGAAUGAGCCGAUGUCGGAUUAGCUAGUUGGCGGGGUAAAGGCCCACCAAGGCGACGAUCCGUAGCUGGUCUGAGAGGAUGAUCAGCCACACUGGAACUGAGACACGGUCCAGACUCCUACGGGAGGCAGCAGUGGGGAAUAUUGGACAAUGGGCGCAAGCCCGAUCCAGCCAUACCGCGUGGGUGAAGAAGGCCUUCGGGUUGUAAAGCCCUUUUGUUGGGAAAGAAAAGCAGCAGGUUAAUACCCCGCUGUUCUGACGGUACCCAAAGAAUAAGCACCGGCUAACUUCGU
Molecule: ribosomal RNA, 491 nt
Filed under: uncultured bacterium
Lineage: Bacteria
Description: partial 16S ribosomal RNA
Rfam family: Bacterial small subunit ribosomal RNA
Source: RNAcentral